GAUGAACGCUGGCGGCGUGCUUAACACAUGCAAGUCGAGCGAUGAUUAAAGAUAGCUUGCUAUUUUUAUGAAGAGCGGCGAACGGGUGAGUAACGCGUGGGAAAUCUGCCGAGUAGCGGGGGACAACGUUUGGAAACGAACGCUAAUACCGCAUAACAAUGAGAAUCGCAUGAUUCUUAUUUGAAAGAAGCAAUUGCUUCACUACUUGAUGAUCCCGCGUUGUAUUAGCUAGUUGGUAGUGUAAAGGACUACCAAGGCGAUGAUACAUAGCCGACCUGAGAGGGAGAGCGGCCACACUGGGACUGAGACACGGCCCAGACUCCUACGGGAGGCGGCAGUAGGGAAUCUUCGGCAAUGGGGGCAACCCUGACUGAGCAACGCCGCGUGAGUGAAGAGGUUUUCGGAUCGUAAAACUCUGUUGGUAGAGAAGAACGUUGGUGAGAGUGGAAAGCUCAUCAAGUGACGGUAACUACCCAGAAAGGGACGGCUAACUACGUGCCAGCAGCCGCAGUAA
This 514-nucleotide ribosomal RNA is filed under the name uncultured bacterium. RNAcentral's name for it is "partial 16S ribosomal RNA". It matches the Rfam family "Bacterial small subunit ribosomal RNA", at positions 28 to 523 of the family's 1533-position model. The record is from RNAcentral.